Molecule: long non-coding RNA, 2280 nt
Filed under: Eutrema salsugineum
Lineage: Eukaryota; Viridiplantae; Streptophyta; Magnoliopsida; Brassicales; Brassicaceae
Description: long non-coding RNA (ESAL_LNC000925)
Source: RNAcentral
AAAGGUUUACACUAAAAAAGGAAAGGGAAAAAUGAGAUAAGAUAAAAGUUGUCUCCAAAUUAGGUCUAGUUUGCUUUUAUACUACUUGGGCCGAACCGGGUCAGCUCAGGAAAAACUGGGUCCUGACCCGGCCUUGAUGGGUAAAAGGAGCCUUUUUCCACGCCUGAAGUCCCCCUUGGUCAGACCGUGGCACGUUCACCGUGUCAAAGGAAGAUGGUUGAAUCUUCAAGAACAAGUCUUUGCCACGCCUUAGUUCAUGCAGUGUCUUGUGGCCGUGGCAUGUUUUUCUGGGUUUGGUUCAAGAAAAAUGGGUUUGCCACGGCUUGUCUCCAACUGUGGCAUGUGGACCGUGGCAAUUCACCAAAAUCUUUGGACAUUGCCACGCCUUGGUGAGUGGCCGUGGCAUGUGACCGUGUCAUCCUAAUGUGAGUUCUGCCACGGCUAAGUGUGAACCGUGGCAAUGUGACCGUGCCAAGUUCCGAGCAAAUUGAUAUCAUGCCACGACUUGAUGUAGGCCAUGGCAUUGUUCCCGUGAACACUUAGCAUAAUUCUGCAUUAAGUGACAAGUUGAACCCGAUUUGAAAUGCUCGUCCUUCUGUUACUGUAUCUUUUUGCUCUCAACUUCAAAUGACAUGAAAUCAAGUCCUCGUGAAAGAUCUUUAAACCAGCUCAAACUUCGGUGAAGAACUCAAUUGCAUCCGGGGAGUGGAAGGUCUCCCGGACGGCCAGUCUUUACAGUGCAUCAGAACGAUUAGAAAGAUGCUUCUGGACCCGUCUUCAUUCCGGAAAUGUUAUCUCUGUGCUCAGAUCUCUAAAUCGUGUGAUCUCAAGUUUUCUGGAAAUAAGACUUGAAGCUCUUGAAUCUUGAUGAAGGCCCUGUAAACUGAAUCGGUAUGGAAUGGUAUCGUCCUAAGUGAUAUUUGAAGUACAUCGGAUUCGGUCUGGAAUGUAUGCAAGACAGCUGUGUCUUCCGGUGGCCAUAACUCACAUCUCACUGAUUCUAAUCCACUGAUUCCAACUGUUCUGGAACCGUGACUCGAUCCUCUACAACGUUUUUGAAGACCCCGGCAACUGAAUCGGUCGGAAAAUCUCCCCGGACAGGUAAUCGUUAGCGCGUAUUGGCGUAAACAUGUUUUAGCCGAGGGUCCAUGUACCGCGUUAAGAGAAAUAGCCGAGAAAUCCUUCCCGCGGUGAAGUUUUUAGCUGAUAAAUCUCAAACCGUCUCGGCAUAAGAGUUUAGCCGAUAGAUCUUCACUCGAUAGCAAUUUUGGCCGAGAAAAACUUGUCGGACAAAAUUUUUAGCCGAGAAACUGCUCCUUCUGGUACACAAUUAUUCUGAUGAACUCCUUUAGAACAUUUUCACCAUUUCUGACCUUUUUCUCCUCCAUUUCAACUCCUGGUCACAUUUCCUCUGCUCCAAACAGCCUCAAAAGUACCUGUUUAAGACUCCAACCAUGCAAAGACUCAUUUGGACCUAAUGCAGCCCCUAAGUCCUAAAACAAUGCCUAAAGACAUAAAAUGCAUGAAAUAAGACAUGAUUUGGACUUAAACAUGCAAGCUAAAUGAUGCAAAUUAUGAACAUACCAACUUCCCCACACUUGUCUUUUGCUUGUCCUCAAGCAAAAGGAUCAAAUGAGAGAGAGGGUUGGUGUUUGGGAGUUCACAUUUCCUAUGGAGAGAGAGAAGUAAUCACAAAAGAAUUCACAUUCAGGGUCCAAGUUGCUAAUUCUGAAAUGCUAUGCAAGAUUUUACUUUGAUGCAUUAAGUUCAAGCAAUGAUCACUACAAGCAAUGAUAUUCCUCAGCCCUUUGAUAUUCAUUAAGCUCUUUAUCAUGUUAAUCAAGUGAUGCAUGUUCAAGCAAGCAAAGUUUAGCUAGAGAUGAGGUUAUGAGACUAAAAUGAUCUCAUUCAAUGCACAAGCAGGUUCAAUGCAACUAGGAGAUCUCUCAAUGAAUGAUCAAACUUUGGCAGAAGGCUAAAGGUAAGGAGCAACCGAUGCAUACAAGGACAAGACUCAACUCACCCCCUUACCUAAAAUGCCUCUAACUCACACUCUCACACUGAACCUCACAACUCUCUUCUCACUCAUUUUCAUCUCUCAAAAAGGGUUUUCUUUUCAUUUACAAAUUUUGGUUCUGGGAUCUUUCUUUUACAUUUAGCUCUUUUCACAUUUGAUUCAUCUAACCUCUAACUUUCUUUUUAGAAACAUGAGCCUUUGGCUUCUUUUCUUUUCUUUACACUUAGAGGUUAGAUGCUUUUUUCUUUUUAAAACGCUUAGAG